RNAcentral lists this ribosomal RNA (502 nucleotides) under uncultured bacterium. Its description in RNAcentral is "bacterial SSU rRNA". It matches the Rfam family "Bacterial small subunit ribosomal RNA", at positions 28 to 525 of the family's 1533-position model. The record is from RNAcentral.
GAUGAACGCUAGCGGCAGGCCUAAUACAUGCAAGACGAACGGUAAGUUGAGUAGCAAUACUUAGCCAAGAGUGUCGUACGGGUGCGUAACACGUAUGCAACCUACCCUAUACAGGAGGAUAGCCUAGGGAAACCUGGAUUAACCCUUCAUAGUAUUAUUGGAUGGCAUCAUUUGAUAAUUAAAACUGAGGUGGUAUAGGAUGGGCAUGCGUCUGAUUAGUUAGUUGGCGGGGUAAUGGCCCACCAAGACGAUGAUCAGUAGGGGUUCUGAGAGGAAGAUCCCCCCACACUGGCACUGAGAUACGGGCCAGACUCCUACGGGAGGCAGCAGUAGGGAAUAUUGGGUCAAUGGAUGCAAGUCUGAACCAGCCAUGCCGCGUGCAGGAAGAAGGCCUUCUGGGUUGUAAACUGCUUUGCCAGGGGAUAAAAUUUCCAUGCGUGGAAAACUGAAGGUACCUGGUGAAUAAGCCACGGCUAACUACGUGCCAGCAGCCGCGGUAAUC